AGAGAGAGACAUGCGCGCAUAUCAAUAAGCGGAGGAAAAGAAACUAACAAGGAUUCCCUUAGUAACGGCGAGUGAAGCGGGAAGAGCUCAAAUUUGAAAUCUUCAAGGUUCUACCUUGACGAAUUGUAGUUUAAAGAAGUGUUUUCUGUUGAAGUUUUGGUAAAAGUUCUUUGGAAUAGGACAUCAUAGAGGGUGAGAAUCCCGUAUUUGACCAUUAUUUUCCAGCUUUGUGAUACACUUUCAAAGAGUCGGAUUGUUUGGGAAUGCAGUCCAAAAUGGGUGGUAAAUUUCAUCUAAAGCUAAAUAUUGGCGAGAGACCGAUAGCGAACAAGUACCGUGAGGGAAAGAUGAAAAGAACUUUGGAAAAGAGAGUUAAACAGUACGUGAAAUUGUCAAAAGGGAAGCGUUUGACACCAGUGUUGUUUUCUCGAAAAUCAAUUAAAAAUGGCUCGAUUUUGUAUUGUUGAGACCUUAAAAGCUCACUGUACAUUUUUCGUGUCUUUUUUAAUGCACUUUUCGUUUAACAAGUCAACAUCAGUUUCUUUUGUUGUAAAAGGGUCAUUGGAAGGUGGCUUUCUUUUCGGAGAAAGUGUUUAUAGCCUUUGGCCUCUGCAAUCGAAGAGACUGAGGUCUGCAGCGUAGACUCUUCGGGGUUAGAUACAUUUGUGCUAAGUUAUAGCUUUUUAUAGACAACUUGUUGACUAUAAUUAGUCUUGUAGCUUACUCGCUUAUGCUAUUUUACCUACGCUUAGGAUGUUGAAGAUGUAGCACAUCAU
RNAcentral lists this ribosomal RNA (776 nucleotides) under uncultured Neocallimastigales. RNAcentral describes it as "partial large subunit ribosomal RNA". It matches the Rfam family "Eukaryotic large subunit ribosomal RNA", at positions 23 to 634 of the family's 3401-position model. Lineage: Eukaryota; Fungi; Neocallimastigomycota; Neocallimastigomycetes; Neocallimastigales. The record is from RNAcentral.